RNAcentral lists this unclassified non-coding RNA (263 nucleotides) under uncultured Bradymyces. RNAcentral's name for it is "sequence contains ITS2". The stretch from base 1 to 52 matches the Rfam family "5.8S ribosomal RNA", at positions 103 to 154 of the family's 154-position model. Lineage: Eukaryota; Fungi; Ascomycota; Eurotiomycetes; Chaetothyriales; Trichomeriaceae. The record is from RNAcentral.
AACGCACAUUGCGCCCACUGGUAUUCCGGUGGGCAUGCCUGUUCGAGCGUCAUUAUCCUCCCUCAAAACUCCUGUUUUGGUGUUGGGCCGCGUUGGUCACCUCCGACCAACGGGCCUCAAAGACAAUGACGGCGUCCGUGGGACCCUCUUCGCAGUGAGCUUUUGUUAGCGCGCGUUGAGUUUAAAGGACCUUCCGGGCCGGCCACCUUUAUCUAUUUUACAAGGUUGACCUCGGAUCAGGUAGGAAUACCCGCUGAACUUAA